AAUAUUGCACAAUGGAGGGAACUCUGACGCAGCGACGCCGCGUGAUCGAUGAAGGUCUUCUGAUCGUAAAUCUCUUUCCUCAGGGAAGAUGAAAGUGACGGUACCUGCGGACGAAGCCCCGGCUCACUACGUUCCAGCAGCCGGGGUAAUACGUAGGGGGCAAGCGUUGUCCGGAAUUAUUGGGCGUAAAGGGUGCGUAGGCGGCCUUUUAAGUCAGAUGUGAAAGCCCACGGCUUAACCGUGGGACUGCAUUUGAAACUGGAGGGCUUGAGUAUCGGAGAGGGUAGUGGAAUUCCCAGUGUAGCGGUGGAAUGCGUAGAUAUUGGGAGGAACACCAGUGGCGAAGGCGACUACCUGGACGAAAACUGACGCUGAGGCACGAAAGCUAGGGGAGCAAACA
This 400-nucleotide ribosomal RNA is filed under the name uncultured bacterium. Its description in RNAcentral is "partial 16S ribosomal RNA". It matches the Rfam family "Bacterial small subunit ribosomal RNA", at positions 360 to 774 of the family's 1533-position model. The record is from RNAcentral.